CAGGACGAACGCUGGCGGCGUGCCUAAUACAUGCAAGUCGAACGGUCUUUCUAUGGAAGCUUGCUUCCACUGAGAAGAUAGUGGCGAACGGGUGAGUAACACGUGGGGUAACCCUGCCCAUAAGAGGGGGAUAACAUCCGGAAACGGGUGCUAAUACCGCAUAGUUUUCUUGAUCGCAUGAUCGGGAAAGGAAAGACGGCCUUUGUGCUGUCGCUUAUGGAUGGACCCGCGGCGUAUUAGUUAGUUGGUGAGGUAACGGCUCACCAAGACGAUGAUACGUAGCCGACCUGAGAGGGUGAUCGGCCACAUUGGGACUGAGACACGGCCCAAACUCCUACGGGAGGCAGCAGUAGGGAAUCUUCCGCAAUGGACGAAAGUCUGACGGAGCAACGCCGCGUGAGUGAAGAAAAGGUUUUCGGAUCGUAAAACUCUGUUGUCAGAGAAGAACAAGUUGGAGAGUAACUGCUCCAGCCUUGACGGUAUCUGACCAGAAAGCCACGGCUAACUACGUGCCAGCCGCGGC
RNAcentral lists this ribosomal RNA (523 nucleotides) under uncultured bacterium. RNAcentral's name for it is "bacterial SSU rRNA". It matches the Rfam family "Bacterial small subunit ribosomal RNA", at positions 25 to 518 of the family's 1533-position model. The record is from RNAcentral.